RNAcentral lists this ribosomal RNA (117 nucleotides) under uncultured bacterium. RNAcentral describes it as "partial 16S ribosomal RNA". It matches the Rfam family "Bacterial small subunit ribosomal RNA", at positions 1365 to 1482 of the family's 1533-position model. The record is from RNAcentral.
AAUACGUUCCGGGCCUUGUACACACCGCCCGUCACACCACGAAAGUUGGUAACACCCGAAGCCGGUGGCCGAACCGUAAGGACGGAGCCGUCGAAGGUGGGACCAGCGAUUGGGGUG